UGUAAUGUACACAGUAUACUUCAUUCUCACACCAUUCCGACGUUUCAAAUAUGUGAUAACCGCUUCAAAGAGGCUAAAAAGCUAGCUAGAUAGCUUACUAAGUCGCGGACAGCCACGUUGCAGUUUUUGAGGGGCGGAAGAAUUCCCUCAGCUGCUCUAGCCAGCUAGUAACGACAGGGGCAAGGAAGCUAGCCAACAACUAGCCAGUUAAUAACAGGAGAAAGAGCUUGGCUAAUUAAUUUAUAGCUACUUGCCAGACAAUUAUUACCCAGCCCCCCCUAGUCAAUCUUACCUUGCGAACAUUUCAGACAAAUUUGCUAGCUAGCUAACCGUACUUUGUCUUUGUUGACGGUAAAGGAAAUCAUAGGCUUAGGUCUAACGUUACAAUAAUCAGCAGCUACCAAGCAAUAUAAAUAGACCAUAAUUUUAUGAUAGGCUGCAUUAGACCAGUCACUGACGGAUCGUCUAAAUUUAAUUCCCUAAUAUAUAUAUCAACUUUCAGAUAGUGGUUUUCUUACGAACCCAACGUUAGGUAGCCACCAUACCUAGCUAAGAUUAAAUUCUGAACAAUCGCACGGGGAGAGAGGCUAUCAGUAAUUAGCUAGCUACAAAGUUAAUAUCAAAGCUAUCCUGUAACUAAUUCAAUUCAUAGAUGUAACUAACUGUUACGAUGUAUCCCGCUAUCUAGUUAGGUACAGUAAUAAUGACCCCACAAGAACUAAUUCGUCUAUAAAAACUAGACAAAGAACAUCACCGCGUUCUCACAAAGCAAGUGUGGUUCAGUCAAGACUAGCUAAAAGGUAACGCGGAGGUUCGAUCACGAGGCUAAAUUGCUAAAGAUGUCCGUAGCUAAGAAGUGUGUGCAGAAUGGACAGUGAGGUAAAGGCUGCAGCAGCGGAGGAUCGGGAUUCUCUGCUCGUCCUGCGGCUGAUGAAUGAACUGCGGAGAGGCUGAUGCCGCAUGAAUAUGAAAGCCUUGCAGCUCCGCAGGAGUGCCAGCGCAGGCAGACCGUGUGAGAGCCCAUGCGCCUGCAGAAUGCAGUGCAAGCGCUGCCUCAUUACCACUGGGGGAGGAGUGCAAUCAGCAUGCGACAGAGCGAGACAGGAGAGGAGGCACUGUCGGAUGGAUGUGCUGCCGAAGAGACGGACUAAGGUGUGCCCUUGCUAUAUUCUGCUAGGAAUGAAUUUCAAAAUCAGAGCCGGAUUUACAUGCUAAAGACUCCAGGUUUUUAAUAAGUUUUUUUUUUUAAUGUCUUUUUGAAUUAUGCCAGUAAUUUGCUCUUGAAUUUUGCUACCCACAAUUAAUCUCAUUUUAAAAUUUUGUACUCAUUUGGCAUCAAGAUGAAAUUUUUAUCAGCACAAGGCUCCUGCUCCACUAAACUAUAUUGCAGAAUCUGGGUUGCAUAAUGUGGACUAUACCCUUGUCCAUGUUUUUAUGGAAGGGCCGAGAGGUGAAUGAAGUGACCACACAAAGGGAUAAAGUUAUGCAUAGGCAGGGCCUUUGAAAUGCUUGCUCCAUGCAUCUACUGGCAUGAGGGAAUUUGAGUCUUCCUGCUGACAUGGAAAGACCUAUUGCAGUUGCACGGCCUAUUGUUUGCACUGCUAGUCAGUAACCGGCAGGAAUGCCUGAUGUCAUUUGGAAAGAGGGUGCCUGGGUCUGUGCCACUAGACGUCAGACAAGGUAUCAGGUUGCGAGGUCACUUUGGAGGUGAUGCCAACUGCAUGUGCGUCAUCUUUAAUAAUUAAACUAACAUUUGUGGCAACGAAAAUGUAGUUUAGGUGGACCUGUGCUUUAAUAUUGCAGUGGGAACAAUUCUGUUUAUUACUUGUAUUGCAGGUCAUAAGGCCAAGCUUGAUAAAGGUUAGAUCAUGUCUGAUAACGCCAUGCAGGUUGCACAACUAGAGACAGUGUCAGGUACAGGUCAUUAGCAUUAUACGCAAGUAUCAGUUUUAUGCUCACUGUUGGACAAUAGUGUAAUGCAUAUGAACUUUCAGAAGACUGUGUCAACCAACCAAACACCAGGAAAGCAUGGGAGUUGUUCUCCUAUUCUGAAUAUGCCUCAUUGAUUUGUUUUGAUUGUGCCUGCUAUAUCUGUGCCAUUUACUCCAAAUCUUCUAGAUUUUUUCACCUUACUUAAAGUAGAUUUCAGAUUCAAGAAUAACUGUAUACAAACGUAUUCAUAAUUUACAAUUAAAGGGUUAGUUUUACAUCUUUGAAAUAAUAUGAACAUAAAGAAUUAUGAAUUUAUGAAACUGGAAUGAUGAAACAUACAUUUAUAAUAAAUAAUAAGUGAUAUGCAUGUUCUAAAGGGUACAAUAAUAGAAAAAUAAUUAUUAAAAAAGUUUUCAUUUGAUGUA
Molecule: long non-coding RNA, 2357 nt
Organism: Anguilla rostrata (American eel)
Lineage: Eukaryota; Metazoa; Chordata; Actinopteri; Anguilliformes; Anguillidae
Exons: 2
Source: RefSeq, a predicted model, not a curated record